RNAcentral lists this ribosomal RNA (583 nucleotides) under uncultured marine eukaryote. RNAcentral describes it as "SSU rRNA". It matches the Rfam family "Eukaryotic small subunit ribosomal RNA", at positions 621 to 1210 of the family's 1831-position model. The record is from RNAcentral.
AAAAAGCUCGUAGUUGGAUUUCGGAACCGGCCGAUUGGUCCGUCCUCUGGAUCGUGUACUGAUCGGUCUGUUCUUCUUCGCGAAGACCGCGUGUGCUCUUAACUGAGUGGGCGUGGGAUUCGCGACGUUUACUUUGAAAAAAUUAGAGUGUUCAAAGCAGGCAGUCGCUUGAAUAUCUCAGCAUGGAAUAAUAGAAUAGGACUUUGGUCUUAUUUUGUUGGUUUCCGAGACCGAAGUAAUGAUUAAUAGGGACAGUUGGGGGCAUUCGUAUUUCAUUGUCAGAGGUGAAAUUCUUGGAUUUAUGAAAGACGAACUUCUGCGAAAGCAUUUGCCAAGGAUGUUUUCAUUAAUCAAGAACGAAAGUUGGAGGCUCGAAGACGAUCAGAUACCGUCCUAGUUCCAACCAUAAACGAUGCCGUCUGCGGAUCGGAGGUCGCUCAUGUAAGGCUCCUUCGGCACGCUAUGAGAAAUCAAAGACUUCGGGUUCCGGGGGGAGUAUGUUCGCAAGAAUGAAACUUAAAGGAAUUGACGGAAGGGCACCACCAGGAGUGGAACCUGCGGUUUAAUUUGACUCAACACGGGA